This 809-nucleotide ribosomal RNA is filed under the name uncultured bacterium. RNAcentral describes it as "bacterial SSU rRNA". It matches the Rfam family "Bacterial small subunit ribosomal RNA", at positions 8 to 796 of the family's 1533-position model. The record is from RNAcentral.
AGAGUUUGAUCCUGGCUCAGGAUGAACGCUGGCGGCGUGCCUAACACAUGCAAGUCGAGCGAGAAAGCCCGCAAGGGUGAGUAAAGCGGCGCACGGGUGCGUAACACGUGGGUAAUCUGCCCUGAAGUCCGGAAUAACUCGCCGAAAGGCGUGCUAAUGCCGGAUAAGACCACGGGAACCUCGGUUCCUGCGGGAAAAGGUGGCCUCUGUACACAAGCUAUCACUUCAGGAUGAGCCCGCGGCCCAUCAGCUAGUUGGCGGGGUAAUGGCCCACCAAGGCUCCGACGGGUAGCUGGUCUAAGAGGACGAUCAGCCACACUGGAACUGAGACACGGUCCAGACUCCUACGGGAGGCAGCAGUGGGGAAUCUUGCGCAAUGGGCGAAAGCCUGACGCAGCAACACCGCGUGUGUGAUGAAGGUCUUCGGAUCGUAAAACCCUGUCGUCAGGGACGAAGGUUGGGAUCCUAAUACGAUUUCAGCUUGACGGUACCUGGAGAGGAAGCCCCGGCUAACUCUGUGCCAGCAGCCGCGGUAAUACAGAGGGGGCAAGCGUUAUUCGGAAUUAUUGGGCGUAAAGGGCGCGUAGGCGGUUUUGUAAGUAGGAUGUGUAAUCCCCGAGCUCAACUUGGGAACUGCAUCCUAGACUGCAAGGCUAGAGUACUGGAGAGGGUGGUAGAAUUCCACGUGUAGCGGUGAAAUGCGUAGAGAUGUGGAGGAAUACCAGUGGCGAAGGCGGCCACCUGGACAGUAACUGACGCUGAGGCGCGAAAGUGUGGGGAGCAAACAGGAUUAGAUACCCUGGUAGUCC